UACAGAGGUCCCAAGCGUUGUUCGGAUUCACUGGGCGUAAAGGGUGCGUAGGCGGUCGGUUAAGUCUGACGUGAAAUCUUCAAGCUCAACUUGGAAACUGCGUCGGAUACUAUUCGGCUAGAGGAAUGGAGGGGAGACUGGAAUACUUGGUGUAGCAGUGAAAUGCGUAGAUAUCUGGAGGAACACCGGAGGCGAAGGCGGAUCACUGGACUGCCACUGACGCUGAGGCGCGAAAGCUAGGGGAGCAAACAGG
Molecule: ribosomal RNA, 253 nt
Filed under: uncultured bacterium
Lineage: Bacteria
Description: partial 16S ribosomal RNA
Rfam family: Bacterial small subunit ribosomal RNA
Source: RNAcentral